CCUACGGGAGGCAGCAGUGGGGAAUUUUGGACAAUGGGGGCAACCCUGAUCCAGCCAUGCCGCGUGUCUGAAGAAGGCCUUCGGGUUGUAAAGGACUUUUGUUAGGGAAGAAAAGGAAAGUGCUAAUACCACUUUUUGCUGACGGUACCUAAAGAAUAAGCACCGGCUAACUACGUGCCAGCAGCCGCGGUAAUACGUAGGGUGCGAGCGUUAAUCGGAAUUACUGGGCGUAAAGCGGGCGCAGACGGUUACUUAAGCAGGAUGUGAAAUCCCCGGGCUUAACCUGGGAACUGCGUUCUGAACUGGGUAGCUAGAGUAUGUCAGAGGGGGGUAGAGUUCCACGUGUAGCAGUGAAAUGCGUAGAGAUGUGGAGGAAUACCGAUGGCGAAGGCAGCCCCCUGGGAUAAUACUGACGUUCAUGCCCGAAAGCGUGGGUAGCAAACAGGAUUAGAUACCCUGGUAGUCCACGCCCUAAACGAUGUCGAUUAGCUGUUGGGCAACUUGAUUGCUUAGUAGCGAAGCUAAUGCGUGAAAUCGACCGCCUGGGGAGUACGGUCGCAAGAUUAAAACUCAAAGGAAUUGACGG
This 586-nucleotide ribosomal RNA is filed under the name uncultured bacterium. RNAcentral's name for it is "bacterial SSU rRNA". It matches the Rfam family "Bacterial small subunit ribosomal RNA", at positions 338 to 916 of the family's 1533-position model. The record is from RNAcentral.